RNAcentral lists this ribosomal RNA (203 nucleotides) under Phycisphaerae bacterium. RNAcentral describes it as "partial 16S ribosomal RNA". It matches the Rfam family "Bacterial small subunit ribosomal RNA", at positions 1322 to 1533 of the family's 1533-position model. Lineage: Bacteria; Pseudomonadati; Planctomycetota; Phycisphaerae. The record is from RNAcentral.
GAAGUCGGAAUCGCUAGUAAUCGGAGAUCAGCUACGCUCCGGUGAAUAUGUUCCUGAGCUUUGUACACACCGCCCGUCACGUCAUGGGAGCCAGAAGCGCCCGAAGCCGCCCUGUUUCAAGGGUGUCUACGGCGAUGCUGGUGACUGGGACGAAGUCGUAACAAGGUAGCCGUAGGAGAACCUGCGGCUGGAUCACCUCCUUU